This is a long non-coding RNA of Homo sapiens (human), 1710 nucleotides long. Ensembl annotates it as ZNF567 divergent transcript. Its record names the gene ZNF567-DT. The record is from Ensembl. Lineage: Eukaryota; Metazoa; Chordata; Mammalia; Primates; Hominidae.
GUGCGUGGCUGGGAUGAGGGCGGCGCUCACGGUGAGGAAGCCCCGAGCUCCCGGGACGCAGACAGGGUGUGCAGGGCCGUAGCUCGGGCCUGUGUAUGCACCUGUGCGUGUGUGUUUGAUGCCAGGACAAGGCGGCGGUGUGCGCGGCGAGGAGGCUGCGACAGGUGCGUGAUUGUGUUCCUGUCCCUGCUCGGAUGCGGGACCUUUGGGUGGCCGUGGUCGGCUGUCGGGUGUGUGACACUGUAGGGUUUGAGACCUUCCAUCAUGACAGUGCUGCUGUGGCCGUGUGAUGGAAGAGCCUUUUAGGUCUGUGGUGUUGUGUGUGUAACGGGUAAAGCUUCAUUUCUGCAGUGCUGUGUUUAAUGUUGGGACUGAGGGGUCUGUCGAAGAUCUCCCCAAUGUGCCUGUGAGGACUAUGAUCCAUGCCUAUGUUAAGCAGAGUCAUCUUGCAAUGAAGCAUGGCCCGCGUUGUCUUCUCAGGGCACACCUGUCCCCAGUUCUCAGCCUGGUGUUUGACACAGGGGAUCCUGGCGGAGUGCCCACCUAAGCGGCAGUUUUAGACUCGAUUGUUUCUUGGGCUCUGCAUCUCUGAGUUCCCAGCUUCCUUUUUUCUCCCGCUUUAUAGCUGUAUAGACCCCAGCUGCAGUGAAAUGGCCAUCAAAAAGGGAAGGGAUAAUCGAGUGGUGGAAUAAAAUCUGCAAACAGAAAAAGGACAGACCUGUUUUCGGAACGAGGCUUUUCGAGUUGUAAGUGUCCCUUAAGCAGAGUUCUGGGAAGACGUCGUGGGGAGAACCUAGGAGUAGGAUUCCUUCCUCAGAGGCUCUCCCUUGGGAACUCUCAGAGGUCAGGUUCCAUGUGAUCCACAUCAUUCCCAGAGCUGUCUCCGCAGGAGACUUAACGUGAAUUUUGAGAAAGUCCCCAGUCCUGGAUAUCAGUGACCCUGGCCUUUCCCUUGAAUACUAAGAAGGGUUAGCAGUACUCCCAUCUCCCUUUUACUUCCAUCUGAGUAUGUUUAUGGUAGAUGAUGAGAGCUCGUGUGGUGGCAAUAAUUUUUUCCAAUUUAGCCAAUCUGGGUUCCAAGAAAGGUCUGAUGUCUCAUGAUUCCUUACCCCUUCUCCCUUGCCUUGAGGUUCUCUAAGAGCCCUGAGGAAAGGGAACCAUUGCUGAGCAUAUCUGAAAACCAAGGUCAAGGAAGUUUUGUUGUAUUUUCUAUUUUUGUUCUCUUUGAUUUUGUUUUUCAGCAAGGGAGUAUUUUUUCUCCUCCUGAAAUGCUAGUCAGUGGUUAGGUUACUAUUAGGCAGGGCCUUGUGAGGUGCUUUGACCAAUAGAAUGUGGUGGAAGUGAUAUUGUGAGACUUCUGAGACAAAGCUUCAGGAAGUCUUGCAGCUUUUUCUCUUCCCCUUUUCCUGCCCUGAGACCACCAUGACUGAAGGCUAAGAGCAACUUGCUUGCGCAUUAAAGAUCACUUGGAGAGAGAGGUCCAGUGAGCAACAACGGCCAGAAAUUUCAGGGAGACCAUCUUGAACCAUCCAGCCUCCACCAGGCCAACAGCUGACAGCUGUCACAUGAAUAUGAUCAGCAGAAGAACCACUCAGGCAAGCCAAGCCCAAAUUGCCAAGCCCCCCAAAUAAUAAGCUAAUUGUUUUUUGUUUUAAGCCAUAAACUUUUGAGGUGGUUAUAUAGCAAUAAAUAACUGAAACAGGUGUUUAA